This 407-nucleotide ribosomal RNA is filed under the name uncultured bacterium. Its description in RNAcentral is "partial 16S ribosomal RNA". It matches the Rfam family "Bacterial small subunit ribosomal RNA", at positions 30 to 526 of the family's 1533-position model. The record is from RNAcentral.
AUUGAACGCUAGCGGGAUGCCUUACACAUGCACGUCGAACGGAGUGGCGAACGGGUGAGUAAUGUAUCGGAACGUGCCCAGUAGCGGGGGAUAACUACGCGAAAGCGUAGCUAAUACCGCAUACUCUUGGAGCGGCCGAUAACGGAGUAGCUAGUUGGUGGGGUAACGGCUAACCAAGGCCACGAUCCGUAGCUGGUUUGAGAGGACGACCAUCCAAACUGGGACUGAGACACGGCCCAGACUCAUACGGGAGGCAGAAGUGGGUAAUUGUGGACAAGGGUGGAAACCCUGAUCCAGCCAUCCCGCGUGUGCGAUGAAGGCCUUCGGGUUGUAAAGCACUUUUGGCAGGAAAGCGGUACCUGCAGAAUAAGCACCGGCUAACUCCGUGCCAGCAGCCGCGGUAAUUC